CCUGCCGGACCCUACUGCUAUCGGGGAGGGACUAAGACAUGCUAGUCUAGCGUCUCUAGGCUAUGGUAGAGAUGCGGCGUACGGCUCAGUAACACGUGGCUAAUCUGCCUUUAGGACAGGGCCAACCCCGGGAAACUGGGGCCUAUCCCUGAUAGGUGAGGAGGCCUGGAAUGGUUCCUCGCUGAAAGGAUGUUGAAACCAUGCUUUUUGAUGUUGCCUAAGGAUGGGGCCGCGUCCGAUCAGGUUGUUGGUGAGGUCACGGCUCACCAAGCCUAUAACCGGUACGGGCCGUGAGAGCGGGAGCCCGGAGAUGGGCACUGAGACAAGGGCCCAGGCCCUACGGGGCGCAGCAGUCGCGAAAACUCCGCAAUGCGCGAAAGCGUGACGGGGCUACCCCGAGUGUCGUCCGCUGAGGAUGACUUUUACCUAGUGUAAUGAGCUUGGAGAAUAAGGAGAGGGCAAGUCUGGUGUCAGCCGCCGCGGUAAUACCAGCUCUCCGAGUGGUAGGGACGAUUAUUGGGCUUAAAGCGUUCGUAGCCGGCUCAGCAAGUCUUCCGUUAAAUCCAGCGACCUAAUCGUUGGGCUGCGGGAGAUACUGUUGGGCUAGGAGGCGGGAGAGGCCGACGGUAUUCUCGGGGUAGGGGUGAAAUCCUAUAAUCCCGGGAGGACCACCAGUGGCGAAGGCUGUCGGCUAGAACGCGCACGACGGUGAGGGACGAAAGCUGGGGGAGCGAACCGGAUUAGAUACCCGGGUAGUCCCAGCUGUAAACGAUGCGGGCUAGGUGUUGGGGUGGCUACGAGCCACUUCAGUGCCGCAGGGGAGCCAUUAAGCCCGCCGCCUGGGGAGUACGGCCGCAAGGCUGAAACUUAAAGGAAUUGGCGGGGGAGCACCACAA
RNAcentral lists this ribosomal RNA (896 nucleotides) under uncultured archaeon. Its description in RNAcentral is "bacterial SSU rRNA". It matches the Rfam family "Archaeal small subunit ribosomal RNA", at positions 13 to 884 of the family's 1478-position model. The record is from RNAcentral.